Molecule: non-coding RNA, 1001 nt
Organism: Carica papaya (papaya)
Lineage: Eukaryota; Viridiplantae; Streptophyta; Magnoliopsida; Brassicales; Caricaceae
Source: RefSeq, a predicted model, not a curated record
AGGAAAAGAAUAAGGAGAGAAAAAGAAAAGAACGAAAAAAAAUGAAGAGAAGUGUUAUGUCCUCGAUACUAGAAUCUUGUCACCGGGCGAUUCUCCAGAAUUUCUUGUUCUUGGAUCUGCUUUUCCCUUAUUGUGAUUCCCAGAGCAAUAUAUAGUGAGUUACAUGCAAGCUCAUCAAAGAGAGUUUGAAUCCUUGGGGCUUGGCAUCUGGUUUGCUGGUGUACCGGAGUAUGACCCAUCAUCUUGGAUAUGGACUACGUUUUGGGACUGGAUGAUCAGAUUUCCCUGGGUACCUGCACUUUAUACCUGACAUAUUUUCAACUGUGCUAUGCUUGUGGGUAGAGGUAAGAUCUUUAGCUUUUAGCAUUGAAGCAAAUACGUUAAAUUCGAAGGUCUGUCUCCUCAUUUCUUUCCUGAUGGUGCAAGUGAACUCACUGUGUUAUUAAAUAUAACAAAAUAAUUAGGUGGGUUAUGUAAAAAGAAGAAAACGAGAGAAUAAUGACAAGCCAAGCUUUUCAAGAUGAGAGAAUAAAGACUUGAUUGUAACUAUAGCCACAAAUAUCAUAUUUUUAACUCUAUUAGCCAUAUUAACUAAUAUGAUGUAAAAAUCAUAAAUACAAUAUUUUCAGUAAUAUUCAAAAACUGAAAAUUAAAAGAUUAUGAAAACUCACAAAAGGCAGAGACUUCAUAAUUUCACUUCCACAGGUCAGUUGUCCCUAGAAUAGUCCCUUCUAUUUUCUUCCUGCCGCCAAUUUAUAAUUUUUAUCGACUCUUUUUGUUGGUUAAAAAGGUUAUGACACACUAGUUGGCGAGCGUGGAGGACAGAGACAGAGAAUUGCUAUUGCCAGAGCUGUACUGAAGAAUGCACCAAUCUUGAUCCUUGAUGAAACAACAAGUGCCCUGGAUGCAGUCAGUGAACGCCUCGUACAGGAAGCUCCGAACCAUCUAGUGAACGGCAGGACAACAUUAGUGAUUGCUCAUAGAUUAAGCACAAUUCAGAA